This 71-nucleotide transfer RNA is filed under the name Camelus bactrianus (Bactrian camel). It matches the Rfam family "tRNA". From Rfam's summary of the family: Transfer RNA (tRNA) molecules are approximately 80 nucleotides in length. Their secondary structure includes four short double-helical elements and three loops (D, anti-codon, and T loops). Further hydrogen bonds mediate the characteristic L-shaped molecular structure. tRNAs have two regions of fundamental functional importance: the anti-codon, which is responsible for specific mRNA codon recognition, and the 3' end, to which the tRNAs corresponding amino acid is attached (by aminoacyl-tRNA synthetases). tRNAs cope with the degeneracy of the genetic code in two manners: having more than one tRNA (with a specific anti-codon) for a particular amino acid; and 'wobble' base-pairing, i.e. permitting non-standard base-pairing at the 3rd anti-codon position. RNAcentral also lists the same sequence under 2 other names. The record is from Rfam by way of RNAcentral. Lineage: Eukaryota; Metazoa; Chordata; Mammalia; Artiodactyla; Camelidae.
GAGGAUAUAGCUCAGUGAUAGAGCACAUGCUUGGCAUGCAUGAGGUCAUGGGUUCAAUCCCGAGUCCCUCC